UUAACUUAUUUGCUUGUUUACUCAGAGAGACCACUAAAAUACAGAAGGGUUUGUGUCCUCCGGUGGGCGCUCCCCCUCCGGAGAGGGGGUGCUGCAGCUCCUCCCAGGAGCUACCCACCGAAGCAACGCCGUACGGAUAAGUUCACAAUGGUUUUAGGGAGUCCUUUCGGAGCUCUGUAAUGAUCCCUCCGCUGGUUCACCAACGGAGA
RNAcentral lists this unclassified non-coding RNA (209 nucleotides) under uncultured fungus. RNAcentral's name for it is "sequence contains ITS1". Lineage: Eukaryota; Fungi. The record is from RNAcentral.